AGAGUUUGAUCAUGGCUCAGAGUGAACGCUGGCGGCGUGCCUAACACAUGCAAGUCGAACGAGAACGGAUUACAGCUUGCUGUAAUUGUCAGCUAAGUGGCGCACGGGUGAGUAAUAUAUAGUUAAUCUGCCCCAAAGAAGAGAAUAAUUGUUGGAAACGACUUGUAAUGCUCUAUAUGCCUUUAAGACAUAAGUCUGCAAGGGAAAUAUUUAUAGCUUUGGGAUGAGACUGUACGGUAUCAGCUAGUUGGUGAGGUAAUGGCUCACCAAGGCUAUGACAUCUAACUGGUUUGAGAGGAUGAUCAGUCACACUGGAACUGAGACACGGUCCAGACUCCUACGGGAGGCAGCAGUGGGGAAUAUUGCACAAUGGAGGAAACUCUGGUGCAGCAACGCCGCGUGGAGGAUGACACAUUUCGGUGCGUAAACUCCUUUUAUAUGAGAAGAUAAUGACGGUA
This 458-nucleotide ribosomal RNA is filed under the name uncultured bacterium. RNAcentral describes it as "bacterial SSU rRNA". It matches the Rfam family "Bacterial small subunit ribosomal RNA", at positions 8 to 477 of the family's 1533-position model. The record is from RNAcentral.